CCUACGGGUGGCUGCAGUGAGGAAUAUUGGGCAAUGGGGGCAACCCUGACCCAGCCAUGCCGCGUGAGUGAAGAAGGUCUUCGGAUUGUAAAGCUCUUUCGGACGUGACGAUGAUGACGGUAGCUAAGGAGCAAGCCACGGCUAACUACGUGCCAGCAGCCGCGGUAAUACGUAGGUGGCAAGCGUUGUCCGGAAUUACUGGGUGUAAAGGGAGCGCAGGCGGGAAGCCAAGUCAGCUGUGAAAACUACGGGCUUAACUUGUAGACUGCAGUUGAAACUGGUUUUCUUGAGUGAAGUAGAGGUUGGCGGAAUUCCGAGUGUAGCGGUGAAAUGCGUAGAUAUUCGGAGGAACACCGGUGGCGAAGGCGGCCAACUGGGCUUUAACUGACGCUGAGGCUCGAAAGUGUGGGGAGCAAACAGGAUUAGAUACCCUGGUAGUC
RNAcentral lists this ribosomal RNA (440 nucleotides) under uncultured bacterium. Its description in RNAcentral is "partial 16S ribosomal RNA". It matches the Rfam family "Bacterial small subunit ribosomal RNA", at positions 338 to 795 of the family's 1533-position model. The record is from RNAcentral.